RNAcentral lists this ribosomal RNA (497 nucleotides) under uncultured bacterium. RNAcentral's name for it is "partial 16S ribosomal RNA". It matches the Rfam family "Bacterial small subunit ribosomal RNA", at positions 28 to 507 of the family's 1533-position model. The record is from RNAcentral.
GAUGAACGCUGGCGGCGUGCCUAAUACAUGCAAGUCGAGCGAACAGACGAGGAGCUUGCUCCUCUGACGUUAGCGGCGGACGGGUGAGUAACACGUGGAUAACCUACCUAUAAGACUGGGAUAACUUCGGGAAACCGGAGCUAAUACCGGAUAAUCUAUUGAACCGCAUGGUUCAAUAGUGAAAGACGGUUUUGCUGUCACUUAUAGAUGGAUCCGCGCCGCAUUAGCUAGUUGGUAAGGUAACGGCUUACCAAGGCAACGAUGCGUAUCCGACCUGAGAGAGUGAUCGGCCACACUGGAACUGAGACACGGUCCAGACUCCUACGGGAGGCAGCAGUAGGGAAUCUUCCGCAAUGGGCGAAAGCCUGACGGAGCAACGCCGCGUGAGUGAUGAAGGUCUUCGGAUCGUAAAACUCUGUUAUUAGGGAAGAACAAAUGUGUAAGUAACUAUGCACGUCUUGACGGUACCUAAUCAGAAAGCCACGGCUAACUACGUG